AGAGUUUGAUCCUGGCUCAGGGAUGAACGCUAGCGACAGGCUUAACACAUGCAAGUCGAGGGGCAGCGGGGUAGGAAGCUUGCUUUCUGCCGCCGGCGACCGGCGCACGGGUGAGUAACACGUAUGCAACCUGGCCGUGACAGAUGGAUAACCGGGAGAAAUCCCGCCUAAUACAACAUAAUGCCGGGAGGGGACAUCCCCUGCCGGCCAAAGGGGGCGACCCCGGUCACGGAUGGGCAUGCGGCGCAUUAGGUAGUUGGUGGGGCAACGGCCCACCAAGCCGACGAUGCGUAGGGGUUCUGAGAGGAAGGUCCCCCACAUUGGAACUGAGACACGGUCAAAACUCCUACGGGAGGCAGCAGUGAGGAAUAUUGGUCAAUGGCCGGAAGGCUGAACCAGCCAAGUCGCGUGAGGGAAUAAGGCCCUACGGGUCGUAAACCUCUUUUGCCAGGGAGCAAUGCCGUCCACGUGUGGACGGAAGGAGAGUACCUGGAGAAAAAGCAUCGGCUAACUCCGUGCCAGCAGCCGCGGUAAUACGGAGGAUGCGAGCGUUAUCCGGAUUUAUUGGGUUUAAAGGGUGCGUAGGCGGCCUGCCAAGUCAGCGGUAAAAUUGCGGGGCUCAACCCCGUACAGCCGUUGAAACUGCCGGACUCGAGUGGGCGAGAAGUAUGCGGAAUGCGUGGUGUAGCGGUGAAAUGCAUAGAUAUCACGCAGAACCCCGAUUGCGAAGGCAGCAUACCGGCGCCCGACUGACGCUGAGGCACGAAAGUGCGGGGAUCAAACAGGAUUAGAUACCCUGGUAGUCCGCACAGUAAACGAUGAAUG
This 825-nucleotide ribosomal RNA is filed under the name uncultured bacterium. RNAcentral describes it as "bacterial SSU rRNA". It matches the Rfam family "Bacterial small subunit ribosomal RNA", at positions 8 to 815 of the family's 1533-position model. The record is from RNAcentral.